CCUACGGGAGGCAGCAGUGAGGAAUAUUGGUCAAUGGGCGAAAGCCUGAACCAGCCAUGCCGCGUGCAGGAAGACGGUCCUAUGGAUUGUAAACUGCUUUUAUUUGGGAAUAAACCUCUGGUCGUGACCGGAGCUGAAGGUACCAAAUGAAUAAGCACCGGCUAACUCCGUGCCAGCAGCCGCGGUAAUACGGAGGGUGCAAGCGUUAUCCGGAAUCAUUGGGUUUAAAGGGUCCGCAGGCGGGCUUAUAAGUCAGUGGUGAAAGCCUACGGCUUAACUGUAGAACUGCCAUUGAUACUGUAAGUCUUGAAUUCGGUCGAAGUGGGCGGAAUGUGUAGUGUAGCGGUGAAAUGCUUAGAUAUUACACAGAACACCGAUAGCGAAGGCAGCUCACUAGGCCUGGAUUGACGCUCAGGGACGAAAGCGUGGGGAUCAAACAGGAUUAGAUACCCUGGUAGUCCACGCCGUAAACUAUGAUUACUCGUUUUCGGCGAUAUACUGUCGGAGACUAAGCGAAAGUGAUAAGUAAUCCACCUGGGGAGUACGAUCGCAAGGUUGAAACUCAAAGGAAUUGACGG
This 578-nucleotide ribosomal RNA is filed under the name uncultured bacterium. Its description in RNAcentral is "bacterial SSU rRNA". It matches the Rfam family "Bacterial small subunit ribosomal RNA", at positions 338 to 916 of the family's 1533-position model. The record is from RNAcentral.